GACGAAACGCUGGCGGCGUGCCUAAUACAUGCAAGUCGAGCGAGCCGAAUUCAAAAGAUUCCUUCGGGAUGAUUUGUUGGACGCUAGCGGCGGAUGGGUGAGUAACACGUGGGCAAUCUGCCCUAAAGACUGGGAUACCACUUGGAAACAGGUGCUAAUACCGGAUAACAACAUGAAUCGCAUGAUUCAAAGUUUGAAAAGGCGGCGUAAGCUGUCACUUUAGGAUGAGCCCGCGGCGCAUUAGCUAGUUGGUGGGGUAAAGGCCUACCAAGGCAAAUGAUGCGUAGCCGAGUUGAGAGACUGAUCGGCCACAUUGGGACUGAGACACGGCCCAAACUCCUACGGGAGGCAGCAGUAGGGAAAUCUUCCACAAUGACGCAAGUCUGAAUGGAGCAACGCCGCGUGAGUGAAGAAGGUUUUCGGAUCGUAAAGCUACUGUUGUGGUGAAGAAGGAUAGAGGCAAGUAACUGGUCUUUA
Molecule: ribosomal RNA, 477 nt
Filed under: uncultured bacterium
Lineage: Bacteria
Description: bacterial SSU rRNA
Rfam family: Bacterial small subunit ribosomal RNA
Source: RNAcentral